AAACUGGCAUGCCUCAGUAGCGGCGAGUGAAGCGGCAAGAGCUCAGAUUUGAAAUCGUGCUUUGCGGCACGAGUUGUAGAUUGCAGGUUGGAGUCUGUGUGGAAGGCGGUGUCCAAGUCCCUUGGAACAGGGCGCCCAGGAGGGUGAGAGCCCCGUGGGAUGCCGGCGGAAGCAGUGAGGCCCUUCUGACGAGUCGAGUUGUUUGGGAAUA
RNAcentral lists this ribosomal RNA (211 nucleotides) under uncultured Pichia. RNAcentral's name for it is "partial 26S ribosomal RNA". It matches the Rfam family "Eukaryotic large subunit ribosomal RNA", at positions 67 to 282 of the family's 3401-position model. Lineage: Eukaryota; Fungi; Ascomycota; Saccharomycetes; Saccharomycetales; Saccharomycetaceae. The record is from RNAcentral.